UACGUAGGGGGCGAACGUUAUCCGGAAUGAUUGGGCGUAAAGGGUAUGUAGGCGGACCUGUAAGUCAGGUGUGAAAGGCAUGGGCUCAACCCAUGUAAGCACUUGAAACUGCGGGCCUUGAGGGAAGGAGAGGUAAGUGGAAUUCCUAGUGUAGCGGUGAAAUGCGUAGAUAUUAGGAGGAAUACCGGUGGCGAAGGCGACUUACUGGACUUUUACUGACGCUGAGGUACGAAAGCGUGGGGAGCAAACAGG
Molecule: ribosomal RNA, 252 nt
Filed under: uncultured bacterium
Lineage: Bacteria
Description: partial 16S ribosomal RNA
Rfam family: Bacterial small subunit ribosomal RNA
Source: RNAcentral